AAUCACGACAUUGUAAGAUGCU
RNAcentral lists this microRNA (22 nucleotides) under Oreochromis niloticus (Nile tilapia). RNAcentral's name for it is "oni-miR-10689". The record is from miRBase by way of RNAcentral. Lineage: Eukaryota; Metazoa; Chordata; Actinopteri; Cichliformes; Cichlidae.